GACGAACGCUGGCGGCGUGCUUAACACAUGCAAGUCGAACGGAAAGGCGCUGCUGUUGUGGGGUGCUCGAGUGGCGAACGGGUGAGUAACACGUGAGUAACCUGCCGUUGACUUUGAGAUAACUUCAGGAAACUGGGGCUAAUAACGGAUAGAAGCUCCUGCUGCAUGGUGGGGGUUGGAAAGUUUCGGCGGUUGGGGAUGGACUCGCGGCUGAUCAGCUUGUUGGUGGGGUAGUGGCUUACCAAGGCUUUGACGGGUAGCCGGCCUGAGAGGGUGACCGGCCACAUUGGGACUGCGAUACGGCCCAGACUCCUACGGGAGGCAGCAGUGGGGAAUAUUGCACAAUGGGCGGAAGCCUGAUGCAGCAACGCCGCGUGCGGGAUCACGGCCUUCGGGUUGUAAACCGCUUUCGCCUGUGACGAAGCGUGAGUGACGGUAAUGGGUAAAGAAGCACCGGCUAACUACGUG
This 468-nucleotide ribosomal RNA is filed under the name uncultured bacterium. RNAcentral's name for it is "partial 16S ribosomal RNA". It matches the Rfam family "Bacterial small subunit ribosomal RNA", at positions 28 to 507 of the family's 1533-position model. The record is from RNAcentral.